GAAGCCGCGAAUAGCUCAUUACAACAGCCGUUGUUUAUUAGAUCUUAUAUCCUACUUGGAUAACUGUGGUAAUUCUAGAGCUAAUACAUGCAACAAUACCCAGACCUCACGGAAUGGGUGCACUUAUUAGACUAAAACCAAUCGGACUUCGGUCCGCCAAAUGGUGAAUCUGAAUAACUCAGCUGAUCGCAUGGUCUUUGCACCAGCGACAGAUCUUUCAAAUGUCUGUCCUAUCAACUUUCGAUGGUAGUUUACACGCCUACCAUGGUUGUUACGGGU
This 279-nucleotide ribosomal RNA is filed under the name Acantholaimus sp. K48. RNAcentral's name for it is "partial 18S ribosomal RNA". It matches the Rfam family "Eukaryotic small subunit ribosomal RNA", at positions 83 to 360 of the family's 1831-position model. Lineage: Eukaryota; Metazoa; Nematoda; Chromadorea; Chromadorida; Chromadoridae. The record is from RNAcentral.